AGAAUCCUGCAAACAGCAGCUGGUUUAGUGGAGGCUGCCAGACUUCAGGGAUUCUUAGGUCUCUCAGUGAAGACGCUGAUACAGCUUCUGACACCAUUGGUGAUGAGUGGUGUGGAACAGCCGGUCCAGGUCUGAGGCUAUCAAAUACUGAAAGGGAAUCUCCUGCAUCCAAGUCCCAGGAUACCAGAGUAGCCCUCUGCAGCCCACACAGUUUCUGAGUAAGUGGGAGAUGGUUACUUAAAAGGCCAGGGGAAAAAAAAAUCACUGGCUAAACAAGGAAUGAAGGAGAAAACCCCUAAGAAGACAGCCUAAAUAUUAAAUUGAAAUUUAUAAGAGGUGCAGAAUUUCUGUUUAAGUCUAAUUCACACUAAUUUUUCCUAAUUGCCUCUCUUUUACAUAGGGAUCAAUUUGGAUAAAGAAUGAGAAGCCAUGAGAAUGUAGUUUUGUAGAGAAUAAAAAUGACAAACUCUUUCAUUAAAAAGGGUUCUGGGCAAUGAGUCCAUUUAUAUCU
RNAcentral lists this long non-coding RNA (511 nucleotides) under Mus caroli (Ryukyu mouse). RNAcentral describes it as "lncRNA (MGP_CAROLIEiJ_G0005730.1)". Lineage: Eukaryota; Metazoa; Chordata; Mammalia; Rodentia; Muridae. The record is from RNAcentral.